GGUGAACGCUGACGGCGUGCUUAAGACAUGCAAGUCGAACGGCCUCUUCGUAACCAGUGGCUCACGGGGGAGUAACGCGUACCUGACCUACCCCAAACUCGCGGAUCUCGAUUCUCAAGAAGCGCUAAUACGGGAUGUGCUGUCAGAUCCUGUUCUCCCAGUAAAGAUUUAUUGCUAUGGGAUUGGGUUGAGUUCCAUCGGCUAGUUGGUGGGGUAAAGUCCCACUAAGGCGACGACGGAUCGCCGGCCUGCGAGGGUGGCCAGCCACAGCGGCACUGAGACACGCGUCACACACCUACGGGAGGCAGUAGUUAGGAAGCUCCAACCAUGGGCGACAGCCUGAUGGAGCGACGCAGCGUGAGGGAUGAAGGUAGUCGGAUUGUAAACAUAUGAAACAGGGACGAAAGACGCGCAAGGGGGAGGACGGUACCUGAGUAAUAGCACCGGCUAACUCCGUG
RNAcentral lists this ribosomal RNA (458 nucleotides) under uncultured bacterium. RNAcentral describes it as "partial 16S ribosomal RNA". It matches the Rfam family "Bacterial small subunit ribosomal RNA", at positions 28 to 507 of the family's 1533-position model. The record is from RNAcentral.